AGGGAAAGAGGGAGGCAUGCCUUACACAUGCAAGUCGAACGGUAACAGGUUAAGCUGACGAGUGGCGAACGGGUGAGUAAUGUAUCGGAACGUGCCCAGUCGUGGGGGAUAACUGCUCGAAAGAGCAGCUAAUACCGCAUACGACCUGAGGGUGAAAGCGGGGGAUCGCAAGACCUCGCGCGAUUGGAGCGGCCGAUAUCAGAUUAGGUAGUUGGUGAGGUAAAGGCUCACCAAGCCGACGAUCUGUAGCUGGUCUGAGAGGACGACCAGCCACACUGGGACUGAGACACGGCCCAGACUCCUACGGGAGGCAGCAGUGGGGAAUUUUGGACAAUGGGCGCAAGCCUGAUCCAGCCAUGCCGCGUGCGGGAAGAAGGCCUUCGGGUUGUAAACCGCUUUUGUCAGGGAAGAAAAGGUUCUGGCUAAUACCUGGGACUCAUGACGGUACCUGAAGAAUAAGCACCGGCUAACUACGUG
Molecule: ribosomal RNA, 477 nt
Filed under: uncultured bacterium
Lineage: Bacteria
Description: partial 16S ribosomal RNA
Rfam family: Bacterial small subunit ribosomal RNA
Source: RNAcentral